Molecule: small nucleolar RNA, 110 nt
Organism: Zingiber officinale
Lineage: Eukaryota; Viridiplantae; Streptophyta; Magnoliopsida; Zingiberales; Zingiberaceae
Source: RefSeq, a predicted model, not a curated record
AGUCCAUGGUGAGGUCACAGUCUAAGCAUUCUCUUUAAUUUAUCCCAAGCUUCGUACAAAAAUUCUCCAUCCUUUUAUAUAAAGCUUGUAAUAAGAUUUCGCAUAUGGGU